GCGCCUGUAGCUCAGUUGGAUAGAGCAACGGAUUUCUAAUCCGUAGGCCGGGGGUUCGAAUCCCUCCAGGCGCG
This 74-nucleotide transfer RNA is filed under the name Caldifarciminota bacterium. Its description in RNAcentral is "tRNA-Arg". It matches the Rfam family "tRNA". From Rfam's summary of the family: Transfer RNA (tRNA) molecules are approximately 80 nucleotides in length. Their secondary structure includes four short double-helical elements and three loops (D, anti-codon, and T loops). Further hydrogen bonds mediate the characteristic L-shaped molecular structure. tRNAs have two regions of fundamental functional importance: the anti-codon, which is responsible for specific mRNA codon recognition, and the 3' end, to which the tRNAs corresponding amino acid is attached (by aminoacyl-tRNA synthetases). tRNAs cope with the degeneracy of the genetic code in two manners: having more than one tRNA (with a specific anti-codon) for a particular amino acid; and 'wobble' base-pairing, i.e. permitting non-standard base-pairing at the 3rd anti-codon position. The record is from RNAcentral. Lineage: Bacteria; Pseudomonadati; Caldifarciminota.